RNAcentral lists this ribosomal RNA (291 nucleotides) under uncultured Oscillospiraceae bacterium. RNAcentral describes it as "partial 16S ribosomal RNA". It matches the Rfam family "Bacterial small subunit ribosomal RNA", at positions 356 to 664 of the family's 1533-position model. The record is from RNAcentral. Lineage: Bacteria; Bacillati; Bacillota; Clostridia; Eubacteriales; Oscillospiraceae.
UGGGGAUAUUGCACAAUGGGCGAAAGCCUGAUGCAGCGACGCCGCGUGAGGGAAGACGGUUUUCGGAUUGUAAACCUCUGUCUUCGGGGACGAAAAUGACGGUACCCGAGGAGGAAGCCACGGCUAACUACGUGCCAGCAGCCGCGGUAAUACGUAGGUGGCAAGCGUUGUCCGGAAUUACUGGGUGUAAAGGGAGAGUAGGCGGGAUUGCAAGUCCGUUGUUAAAUCUAUCGGCUUAACCGGUAGCUGCGGCGGAAAACUGUAGUUCUUGAGUGAAGUAGAGGCAGGCGG